GGUUUUACCUCUUCUUCUUCGACUACAACUGAACAAAGAUCUCUUCUUCUUUGGCUACAACUGAAUAAAGAUUGUAUCUACAUGGACUACAAAGUUCUACAAAGUACUGAUUACUACUCUUAAUUACUAACCAUCUCUUCUUCUUUGGCUACAACUGAACAAAGAUUGUAUCUACCUGGACUAUAACAGAGGUUGGUUUAGAACAAACAUGACGAACAGACACAUUUAGGCUAAUUCAGGUGAAAGCUUCUUCAAUUCCAGCUUCACCAGAGACCCAGCUCUCGGCCUACAGGAUCAUGGAAGGAACUAGCGCUAGUGUUACUGACUGGACUCAACUCCGGCACCACCGUUGCUUCUGUCCGUCAGCAAUUUGUCGGAGAUUAAUGAGGAAGAAAUUGAGUCGCUGUCAGUGGAGAAGAUAUUCUAUUUACAUAAGGAUGGUGCGUGCAGCCGCAUGUGUGUCUAAGAUGUAGCAAACCUUGGGCUAUAAUGGUGAGCUUGCAGGAGAUCCAGGAAGCAAGACGACAACGGUAGCGAGGUGGAAGCAUCGGUGGAGAGCCCCCGUCUCCACCAUGCCAGCUCGCCUCCGUCGCUCAACACCCUGGUGGAGCUCUCUCCGCAGCAGCCCGCCUCAGCUUCGCCUGCGCCUGGCACGGGGAUGGCACGCCCGCGCAUCACACCUCGUCGAGCCAGUGCAUGGCCUUCGUCGUGAGACAACCUGGUGGAGCUACUCUUCGCAGCGGGCUGCCCCGUCUCUGGUGGUGCCAGGCACGGGAACGGCGUUACCCGCCCAUGACACCUCGAUUUCUUCCAGUGGAGU
This 820-nucleotide long non-coding RNA is filed under the name Triticum aestivum (bread wheat). RNAcentral's name for it is "long non-coding RNA (TAES_LNC027530)". The record is from RNAcentral. Lineage: Eukaryota; Viridiplantae; Streptophyta; Magnoliopsida; Poales; Poaceae.